GAUGCAUGGCAUCAGAGAAGCCACAAUUUCUUUGUUCUUUAGAAUGUCUUAGACAUAGAAAUAAGGAAUGUGUUUAUGAAGUGUAAUACUAAGUAGAAAAAAAUGAGUAUAAAUUGAACCAUGGAAAAUUAUGAUUGGUGCACAGUGAUGUUAAGAAUCUAUAUCUUCAAUACUUCAGAUUUAUACUUCAUUUAUUCAUGACAGGUGAAAAUAUCAGCCAAUUAUCCUUCUGCAUGCCAUACAAGGAACCAAAGGCAAUAUCUUCGAAAUUGUUUUUACACUCGAACUAGAUGACCUUGGGCAACAUGUCAAACCCGCCAGGUUUCAAAAGGACGAACAUCACCAGGUUUUGACCUUUGACCUCUAGUUGAAUCAGGAUGUUAGAAAGAAUGUCAAGAGAGAAAAGGGUCCGCACAGUGAUCUUGGUAACUUACGACAGUGACAUUGGUAGCAGGCUUUUUGAGUCAGUAAGCUAAAACAUGUGACAGAAUAGUUUGUUUCUGACUGACAUCUAGCACAAUACCCUGACAAUGAUGAUCUUGCUUUGUCUCCUUUAAAAAAUGAUAAGUUUCCAAUGCUAUAUAAAUGUUACAAUGGUUACAGGGUGAACAGUGUCAAGUUUGAACUUUGAGCAAAAUAUUACAAGGAAGAAUGAAAAUAAAUGGAAAAACUAACAUCAAAGUUUAAUGAUUAGUUGCAAAAGUAUGGAAAUUAGGCUGUUGGCGAAAAUACAGAACAUCUAACAAAGGAAGCAAAUUAAAAAAUUAUGUAAUGACAAAUUAUAUGCUUAAAAAAAAGAUAUUGUCCUACAUGUUUUUAUAUCGACAUUUAAUUGAGUGAUAUAUCACAUUACCUGGUUUUAAAAUGGUGAAAAUCAUUAUAUUACUCUUGUCUUAAACUUGCACAGCAUCUUAUUUAGUAUCUGUUCCCAGACUAAUUAUUGUUUGUUACCUUGAAGCUUUUAGUUGCAACUAUCAAAGAACUGGUUUUUAUACACAAACAUAAUUACAAAUGUAUAAAUCGUAUGGGAACUUUCCAGCUUUUUAGGAAUAGUAAUACUCUAAAUGUCCAUACCAGCAUUUUUCAUGUACUGGCAGGCAUCCGGGUAGAACCAACCUAAUUUAUGGCUUACUAUAUGAAAGAAUUUUACAACCCAAGCAAGUUUUUGAACCGACAGCUUUGAGGGGCAAGUGAUUUGAACAAAAGUUUUAAUCUCAACCAAUUUAAAUUUGGUAGGAAGAUCAUUAGAUUAU
This is a long non-coding RNA of Mercenaria mercenaria, 1253 nucleotides long. RefSeq lists it as uncharacterized. NCBI's taxonomy places the organism in Eukaryota, Metazoa, Mollusca, Bivalvia, Venerida, Veneridae. The transcript is spliced from 4 exons. The record is from RefSeq and is a predicted model, not a curated record.